This is a long non-coding RNA of Hyalella azteca, 162 nucleotides long. RefSeq lists it as uncharacterized. Lineage: Eukaryota; Metazoa; Arthropoda; Malacostraca; Amphipoda; Hyalellidae. The record is from RefSeq and is a predicted model, not a curated record. The transcript is spliced from 3 exons.
UAACGUUGGCAAAUAUCCAAAAAUACAGAUAACUCCGUCACCGUUCAAGAGCACUUAUGAGAGCUGCAGACGCUGCAAGGGAGACCGGACUAUCUGCUCACAGCAACAAUAGGAGGCUGCGAGGCCACGACUCCUCCCCUCACCUGCUGCGUCCCCGCCAAC